RNAcentral lists this long non-coding RNA (21560 nucleotides) under Gossypium raimondii (Peruvian cotton). RNAcentral's name for it is "long non-coding RNA (GRAI_LNC009462)". The record is from RNAcentral. Lineage: Eukaryota; Viridiplantae; Streptophyta; Magnoliopsida; Malvales; Malvaceae.
AUCUUUCUUUUUUGAUUAUGAAAUGGACCCUUCAAAAGUGAGGUUAGAGGGUUUCCCCUAUCCUAAACUUCCUGUAUAUAUAGUUCCCUAGCCCUGUAACCAUACAUGCAAGCAAAAAAAAAAAAACCCACAAACUUCUACUUGUUGUUGUGUACUAAAAAAAGAAUGGCAUGUUCAGUAGAUCAUCUUAAGAAAGUUGCGUCAGAAGGGUUUCCCUUGAUAGAUGAGAAAUAUGCCCGGCAGCUAGCCGAGAAGACUCACCGGCGAGCGCCCCUACCGAGAAAUCAGGAUCAUUACCAUCAUCAUCAGAAGUUGGUACCACACCACUAUGUUUAUCAUGGACCUCAAGCUGUCACUGUUGUUCAACAGCCAGUUACUGGCAGCCAUCAUCAAAUCCAGAACAACCAAAACCAUGAAAGAUGGUAUGUCUGUCAAGUCUCCCAAGGUCCUAUAUGCAUCAAUAAGCAGCAAUGACGCAGCUGGAUACUAAGGUGGGAUGCUACUUAAUGAUGUUAUAGGGCCUUGUUGAUUUAUGUAAUAGUAUUCGGUAGAUAGAUGUAGAACUCCGUAGCCUGGUUAGUAACACGCAUGUAUUUUUCGUUAGUGUUUCACCAGAGCUUUUAGCAGCUUGAAAAUAAGCUACGCUUGUGUAAGAUUAUGUAUCUUGUUUUGCUGCUGAAAUCUAUAUACUUAUGUUGAUAUCUUUCUUUUAUUACAAGUUUAUGUUUCAAUCCCAUGUAUUCGUAACUUGGUUUUCAAUUUCAUUACUUAACACAAACGUUGUAUCGAAACUGUGUCACCUAUUAAGGCUCACUGAAUUAAUUAAUAGAAGAAACUAGGUUCGAUUGCUUCUGAGUUUCAUUUUCAUUUGGUAAUGAUUACUAUUGAAAAGAAUCUAAGAAAACUAUUAGAGGAAGACAAAAAGGUGUUGAGAAUCUCACUUUCAACUGAACUAAUCCAAAUGGAAAGUGAAGAACAAAUUUCUAAUCAGCAAACAGUGGAAAAACCCUUUUUUAUUUUUCAAUCUUAACAAUGACUUGGAGUAAAAUUAUACUAUCACAAAAGACAUUACCUUUAAAUCAAUAAACCAGCAAGGAUUUUACUUGUUUGUCUUGUUUGCCUUGUUGGGUAUUUGUGUUUCACCAAAGAACUUGUUCACAACAUCUUAUCAUGUCCAAAUAAGUAGUCUCAUGUUUUACCAUAUGACAAUGUGAAGGAUAGUAUUCCUUGCAGAGGAUGCCAACCAGGGUCCCAUUUUUACGACUAUAUAGGACUCCAAGACUAAAAUCUUUCGAAAUAAUGGGAAAAAUAUCAGCUCUAAAACUUUUUUUUGUUUGUUUAUAAUUUUUAAAAUUAAAACUGCUUUUAUCUUUUUAAAGCUAAAUUUUUAAUUUUUGACUUUUGAAUAUAUACUAAAUUAUUCAUUAAUUGUCCUCAUUUAUAUCGGGCAUGAAAAGUAUAAAAAAAAAUUAUCCUCAUUUAUAUCAUUAAAGGUAAGUUUCUUUUAGUUUUUUUCUUUUUUUGAAAUUUAUGACCAGUAAAGUAAUUUUGAUAUUUAAAAUUAUUUAAAAAUAUUUAAAAUCUAUAUUUAAUCUAUUAGAAUAUUAAUAAUGAAUUACAAUAAAGUGUUAUUAUAUUUUUUAUUAAAAAUUAAGUUGGUAUAUUUAUAUAUUAUAAAACUAACCAAUUGAAAUAUUAUUUAAAUGUGUAAUAUUUUACUUUACAAUAUCAUGCUGAAAAUAAAUAUUUUAUUUUCUUAAAAAGUACUUUUGAUAAUAAUACUAAAUACUUAAAUCAAAAAUUUCAUGAUAAUUUUCAAAAAUAGCUAAAUUAAUCCUAAGUUUGCAAUAUUCUAAAGUUGCUAUUAAUGGAUAUUAUUUGGGAUUUGUUAGAAAAAGAAGAAGAAAAAUGGGAAAAAUAAAAAAUCUGAAUAGGGAACAAUAUAUUGGAGAGUGGAAAAGAAAUCUAUUUUUAAUGAGGAAUGUUAAAGGAUUAGGAAAGAUUGAGGGGAUAUUACUAUUGCAUUUUGAAAGUGAGACAUCAUAAAAGAAAAUCUCAAAUCUAAAAGUAAUAGAAGCCCAAAAAAUAGAUUGUGAAAUUAACCAACAUUAAAUCGAAAUGGUUUUCUUUAUUAAAAUAGCACUCUUCUAAUAUAAAGCAAACUCUCAUGGAAGAAGGCAUAGAAUAGUCUAUUCAUACUCUUCUCAUACUUAACUUCAUUAGUAAUUUUGCCUUUUGGCUACUUUAAAAGCAUGAAAAUGUUACAUGUUUUGUUUGCCUCAUAUUUUUAAGCACAUCCAAGUUGAUUUUUAAAACUCAUUUGGACUGCCACGUAAGACUGUUGUUAGGGAGGUAACGGAGUUUAACCAUAGAGUGACAACUUCGUAACAAAACGAUAACGUAAGUGACUAAAACAUAACAUUUCAAACAUAAGUGACUAAAAUAUAAACUGAGGCAAAUAAAAGUGACUACUUUUGUAGUUUACUCUAAAAAUAAUUUAUUUUCCUUGAAAUUUAAUUUUCCAUUAGGUUACUUUCUCAUAAGCAUGACAAUAUGAUUCUCAUGAUAAAAGAUGAGAGAGUAAAAGUUGAAAAGUUAAAAAGAUAUUAAAGAUAAAAUUAACCCUAUUUAGAAAAUACAUACAAUAUAAAUUAAAACAAUAAUUUUAAAAAUUAUUAAUUAAAUUAUUAUUAAAUAUUUAAUUCAAAGGUUUGUUAUUAAUAAAGUUUAUUGUAAAAUAUUAAAUACAUAAUAUUAGUUUUAUUUACUAAAGACAAAUUUGUAAAUUAUGUCAUAAUCUAAAUUUUUAAAAAUUUUAAUCAAUACUUUUUAAUAUAUACCAAAUAUUGUAAAAUAACUUUCCUAAUAAUCAUAUUCCAAAGAAUUACAUUCCGCUGACCAUUGCUUUCAAAUUUAAAGAUUCUAGCUUCUCAAAUCUAAAAUUUUCACCACAACCUUUGUUGCUGGUCCAUCAAGAAAAAGGAGAAAAAAUAAGUAUGUGAAAGAAAUUUUAAAUGGAAUCCUUGGACCUCUAUUAUUCCAAACCAAAUUGGAAGCAUAUACACAGGAGAAUAUUUCUGCCAUAAAUUCAUAAUUUUAUUUUAUUUUCAUUUAUCUUUUGCAUAAAAUCAUUAUAUAAGUGUUAAUUAAAUUAUAACUAGAGUGAUGGAGAAUUUGUAUUUAAGCUUUAAAUUAACACUAGUAAAGACGAGUAAAACUCAAUUUAAUUUGAAUUUCUUUAAAAAACAAUUGAUUUCUUUUAUCAAUUUUUUUGAAUUAAUCAAAUUGAUUAUUUAAUCUUCCCGAUCAAUUUGAAAUUCAUUUUUUGUCAAGAAGAAAAAAUGCAAUUCAAUUUUCCUAGUUAGAUUUGAGUUGAAUUUUUACAACUCGAAUAAGUCAAAUAAAAAAUUAGGGUAAAAUCCUUUAAGUCCUUAUCAAUUUAAAUUAAUGAAUAAAUUGAUCUCUUUCAAAAAAAAAUUUACUAAAAUUAAAAUAAACUGAAAAAAAUCAAAACGUUUAAUUAAAAAUUCCAAAAUUUUAUAAAUAAAUUCAAAAAAAAUUAUCAAAGUAUAUAAAAAUACUAUUUUUUUUAAAAAAUUCCAAAAUGAUAAAGCUAAGGUCUUAAAUAAGUAAUUUAUCAAAUCAAACUUAUUAUACUAAAUUAUCUUGUUUACUUCUCCUUAUCUAACGUUAUAACUGGUUUGAAACCAUGAUUUGGGUCAAAAUUUUGAAUUUGAAUUUGAAAAUACAAAUUAUUUUUUUUGGAUAACAAAUAAAGAAUUGGAUUUAAAUUUGUGCUAACCCAUGUCUAAUUUCAUAAUAAUUAAAUUUUAGAUUUUCCAUUUUAAAACUUAAAAUUUUCAAAAUCCAAGAUUAAUUAAAUUUUCACACUCUUAAAACCCAAAGAAUAAAUAAUUAAUUGUAUUUAUAAUAUAUCAUCAACGAAACUUCAUGCAUUUAAUUUAAUACAAUAUAAAUUUUCAAAAUUUUUAUUUAUAAAAUAAUUGUCAUAAUUUGAAUUUAUAACCCCUAAAUUUUAAUUUAUUCUUAAAUCCAUUUAUUUAGGUACAAAUCAAAUUAUACAAUUCAAUUCAAGUGUAAAUGAAGUAUGAGUGACUUAUAUAAAUAAUGCUAUAAAGUUUAUAAUUAUUUUUAAUAUUUCAACCCAAAAAUUUAUAAAAGUAGAAAGUUACAUAUGCUGGUCAAGGCAUAAUUAAGAAAAAAACACUUUAAAAGAAUAUACAAAAGUGAUAAGUUCUAUCUUAAAAGAAGUCAAUUUUUUCAUUCAAAAUCUAGGUCUUCAAAACCGAAUUGGUAGUCGAGUUGAUUAGGUUAUUGGCCCGGCCGGUUUGAUUAAAUAAAUAACUAAAAUUUCAUAAAAUAUUAAAAAAUAAAAAUAAAUUGCAAUUCAACCGGUUCAAUUGAUUUUUUUGUCCCAUUCAACUGGUCUAUACUAGUUCCUAGGUCAAUCAGUCUAGUUCAAUUCAAACAACCAUGUUCAAAAUUAUAUUUUUUAAUGCUUAAAAUUAAUUGAAAUCCAAAUCUAAAUUUGAACUAUCUAAACAAUAAAUUUGGAUUAAUUCCAAAUCUUAAAUUUCAAAUACUAUAAUUCUCAAAUAUAGAAUUUUAAAAUAAUGAAUUUAUAAAUUAUAAAUUUCAAAACUAAAAUUUUGAAGUCCAAUCUAAAUUCAAAUUUCAGUUCCCAAAGGUUAGCUUAAAUUGUUUUUAAAUAUAUAGUCUCAAAUUUAUGUGUUUUAACAUAAAAUUUAAUCAUAUUAUCAAGGUUUAAAUAUGACUUGCUCAAUUUUUUUAAUUUAACUUAAAAUGAAUUUAUUUAUCUUGAACUUCAUUCCAUUGGAUCUAAUUUGAAAAUUUUUCUAAUCAAAUUAAAAUGAUAAAACAAGAUAUGUGAACUCAAUUAGCUUAAAAUUCUUUCACUCAAAUCCAUGAAAUGCUCACUCUUAAAUACUAGUCUUGAAUUUGAUGUUUAGAUAAGCAUUGAUAUCUUUUGUUACCUUUGUUGAUGUAACGUACAUGUGGAUAAGUACGUGAAUGACAUGUCAGCAUUUAAUUAAUUUGUUAAAUUUAAAAAAUAAUAAAAAUAAUUUUUUUAUAUUUUUUAUAUUUUAAAUUUUUAAAAAUAAUCUUUGUAAUUUGUUGAAUUUUUAAAAUUAAAAAAAUAAUUAAUGCUAACGUGAUAUCUACAUGGCGAUCCACGUACAUACCACGUCAGUAAAGUUAAAAUAAAGUUAAUAUCUUCAUCUAUUUUGGGGUGAUUUGAUAAAAAAAAAACUACAAAUUUAAGGGCUAAAAAAGAUAAAAAUAAAUAAAUGAAGAGUUAAAAUAACACUUUUUAGAGUUAGAGGAUAAAAAAAUCAAUAUGCCAAAGAAAAAUAAUCAUCUGUUAAUAAUCAAUAUGGAAUUUGUCAUUAAUAUUUUCAUUAACUGUAAUUGGUUAUUUAUAAAAUUAUUUUUAACUUUUUGCAUUCAUAAAAAUCACAUAAAAAAUUAAGUUUAGAAAUGAAUUAAAUACAAAAACCCGAAAAUCAAUAUCUUGUUAAUCACUUCUUCUUUUUUUUGAGAAUAUCUUGUUAAUUGUACUUAAAAUUUAAAAUUAAUUAUUUAAUUAUAAUCUAUCGAAAUAUUUACACAAAAACAAUUUUAUUGUUGAAGUGAGUUAAAAUUAAAAAUUCCCACAAUAUCCAAAGUAAAGGACUUUAAUUAUUAGUAGAAUAUAGUUUCUUUAACAAUUUGGAUCAAGGGUCCAUUAAUUGUUUAACUUGAAUAUGUUGCUUUAUUAAUAUUCAUUGCAAAUAUUUUUUUUUCUCAGCAAACAAAUUUACGAAUGUUUGACAUGUUUGAUGAUUUGUUUUUUUCUCAGGAAAUAAACUUACUAAAACUCUUUGCAAAUAGAUCUUUUUAGCUCUAAAAACUUUGCAUAAUAAUUUGUUUUAAGUAAAUAUGACAUGUUUGAUUAUGUUGAUGUUAUUUUUGGUGUCAUGUUUUAACUAAUUUUUAAUGUUAUGUUAUUAUCAUAUCUCAAAUAAAUUUACAUAUCGAUUGAAUGAUUCAUUUGAUCCAAUUUAGAUUGGAAUUGGAUAGUUUUUAGUUUAAUUAAUUGUUUGACAUGAUGAUUUUAUUUAAUAUAAUAUAAUUUAUUUAGCGUUAUUGGUUUUUUUAAGUUAUUAAACAUUAUUGUUAAAAGAUUAAAUUAUCAAGGAAGAGAAUAAAUCUUGUUUGGAAUACCUAAGGCUGAAGGGGUCAUGAUUUUGUUAAUGGAGUUAGUUUUCAUAACUUCAUCAAAAAAGACCUCUAUUAUUAUUAUUUACCAUAACGAACCAGCAUCUCACAAAAUAAAAUGUGAUUUAUUAAUUUCUAAUGGUUUUGCUAGAAAAGGAAUAUUUUCCACACUGGUCCUACAUAUUAACACUUGUAAACUUUAUGUAAAAUAAUAAUAGUGUCUUGAAAUGUUAUCAUAUAAAUAAAUCUGUCGAAAGCAACACCUUAUUAUACAGGCGAGCAAAAUUUGAUUUGAUUCGAAAAACUCGGUAAAAAAUUAAAUUUUGAAUUAAAUAGUUCAAAUUAAUCGAGUUAUUCGGAUCAACUCGAAUAAAAAAUCAAAUUUUUUAGUUUAACUUGAAUAUAAAUUACACAAUUCGAGUUAUUGAAAAUAUGAAUAAAAAAAGAUAAAACUAUGUCGUUUUGAUAAAUGUUUACUAACUUCUAAAAAUCAAAACCAUUAAACUAAAAGACAAAACUACAUCAUUUUGAUAAAUGUUUACCCAUUAAGUUAAAAGGAAAGACCAUUCUAUUGUUUUUAUAGUUAAAUAAUCUUGUACUUCGUCUCCUAGUUAAAUAAUCGGCCCAUAUAAGCGCAACAUUGAGUAUAAAUAAUAGGAUUCGUUAACUCAACUCGACUUGACUCAAAAUUUUUUGACUCGAUUCGAUUCGAUUCAAAAAGAUUUCAAAUUGAGUUCGGUUACAAAAAUAGGAUUUGUCAACUCGAUUAACUCAAAAAUUUUUUAUUCGAUUUGACUCGACUCGACUCGACUGAAUGUUCACCCUGUCUAAUGAUGCCUUUUUGAUUGGAGUAAAAAGAGAGAAAAUUCAACUCAAAUUGGAUAUAUAUAUAUAUAUAUAUAUAUAUAUUGUAAAAGAAGAAAAGUUAAAAGGAGUCGAGAAUUUUUUUUUUACUCUAUUUUUGUAAUAUCCAAUUUGAAGAAAAUUGAGAUGAAAGUAAAAAUGUUAUAAUUUGUAAAAUAUCAUUUAAGUUCUUUACAUAUUUUAUUAGGUGGUUCUUUGUUUUUUUUUUUAAAUUUGUAUUCAACUAUUCAAUUCACGUUUACUUAUAAAGGACAUCUUACGUACAUGCCACAACAAUUGAUACAAAAUAAGCAGUAUUUUUGUUUUAUGAAUAGUGUGGCAUCCGCCCCAAACAAGCUUCAAAAAUCCAAUAGCUAAGGAUUUACACGUAAAUAAACAAUGGUAGGUAAACAUUUAAUGCUUGGUAAGUUUAAAUAAAAUUUACUAUACUUACCUUGGUUAUAGGUGAACAUGUUAAAUGCCAAGUGAGCUAAGCACAAAAUCUAGCUAAACAAAGCACCUAACAUUACAAGGCAAGGAAAACAUAUGUAAGCAUAUAUGCUCAUGUGUCAAAUAUCAUAACCACAACAAAAAAACAUCAUGAAAUCGUAUCAUUUCUUAUAUGAUAAUAUAACACCCCAAACCCGACCUAGACGUUAUGGCCAAAUCUGGAAUGUUACGAAGUAGGGUUAAGAAUCCAACCUUAUCAUGUUAAAAACCUCGUAUACUUUGUUAUUUGAAAAGUCCACUUAUUCAAAAUCAUGUUAUUAUAUUUUUGAAAACCGAGUUUAUUUUCUAAAAAUGAUUGUUCGUAUAAAACAGUUGUUUUUGUAAACCAUUUUGUUGAACGUUGCAGGACAAUUCAAAAGCAAAUCUAAAUCCAAAAUUAAAACCAAACAGUCUAGAGAGUCCCAAAAUUACAAAACUUUCAAAUUAGACCAGAAAUUUAAAUAAACAUUUUGUGAAAACAAAAUUUACGGAUGUGUGGUCACCAUUGGCCUCCAUAGCACAAACCCGCCUAAGCCUAAGGAUUACCUGAACAGAUCAGACAAACAGAGAGUGGCUUUUUAAGAAAACACAGUGUGUAACUCUAUAGAAACAUAAAUUCAGACUCUAUAGCAUAGCAGAGCAGAUACAAACAUAAUUUCUUACUGAAUCAGAUUAUCGACAGAAUCGGACAGAAUCGUAUAUGCAUAGUCCUACCUCCAACCUCUAUACACCAACUCUGACCAUCCCAACACACCACGUGGGGUAUAAAGCACCCACCCAGCCUUACACACCACAUAGUGUCCGAAUGACACUUAUCAGAAUAAAUCGCAGCCAUGUUGCCAGUAUAUUGGCGAAAUAUCGCCUCACAUAUUACUUUCUCCAAUUAUACAUAACCCGCCUUAUACACAGAUACAAAUAAAUAGAAUAACAGAUAAUAUGCGUGCUUAUACAUAACAAACAUUAUACACGUAUAAGUGUGACAGAACAAAUCAUACAUACUAUAUCUCAUAAAUCUCAUAUAAACAUUAUUUAAACUAUUUUCAAUCCAAUAGAGUGACAUGUCUCAAGCUUAAGGGUUUGUAUUACUCAUAUUGACCCUACGGAAGGCCCAUAGGUGAUCGAAAUGACGCAUGCGACCUUAAGAAGACAUUCUGAAAUUUAAGCCCACAUGUCUGUGUGGGCCCAUGCGCCCAAAUAGGCUUAGGCAGUGUGUCACAUGGCGACACACACAUCGGUCACACUACCGUGUGUCGCACAUGGCCUACCACACGGCCAGGCGCACGCACAUGUGGCCUCGACUGGCCAAAUUUUUGGCUUUCACUGAUCAUCAUUUUCUCAUGUUUUCGUUACACACUUGGUUGGUUUUUUUAUGUGAAAGCAAUUCCAAGACCUCCGAAAUCUAAGAAACAACAUUCCAAAGACUAUUUUAGCAAUUAAUUUACAAAUUCAACACGACUAAACUGAACAACACAUACAAACUUACCACCAACGAACACAAUCACACACAAAUUAGACCGUUGGAGCGCAAUCCUCUACUUCACAACAUUCUCCUAAACGCAGAACCCACUAAUCAAUGGCUACAAAUUAACAUCACUAGCAUCCCAUAAUUCUAAACGCUAAAGAUAAGCAAAGCUCUACUUACCAAGCCGAAUGAAGAACCUGAAAAAUCUAAGUUACAACAAUUGAACGUAUGAUUCGCGAACAAAAUCAAAAGAAGAAAAAAUUGUAGAAAGGGGAAAAAAAUCAGAAAGGGGAAAAGGAUUUUCGAGAAAACAAAAAUAAAACAAAAUAAAAUAAACAGAAUAAAAAUAACAUCAUAUCCCAACUUCCACCACUAACCAAUAACCCCAUCAAAACCGAUCAACUACACUCAUUCAACUACCUCAGAAUUCUAACUCCAUCUAACUUCUACUACUCAACCGACACAUACUCACAGAAGUAAAAAUAAAAUCUUUCACUCACACGGAGGUUCGAACACAAGACUGUAGGGUAAGCUCACACCUUACCACUUGAACCAGUAAGCUCAUUCUGAUAUGAUUUAAUCAAAAAUAUAACAAAAGUCAAACCACGAUAGAUAAAGCUAAGAUCAAAAGUAGAAUUUUCCAAGAGUAUGACUUGAACCCAAAACCUCAAACAUACAAUCAGAACACUUAGCCACUGAAAGAGAUACAUGCUUAAUGACAGAAUUCACAAAAACAAAGUUAAAUAAAUCAGGGAGUUACAACUCUACCCUCUAAAAGAAAUUUCGGCCUCAAAAUUUACUUGAUUCAAACAUAUGUAGAUACUAUUGACGAAUCGAGUCUUCAAGUUCCAACGUGACUUCCUCAAUGCUAUGAUUUUGCCAUAGAACCUUAACUAACAGAAUAGACUUCUUCCUCAGAAUUUUCACAUUUCGAUCUAAAACUUGAACUGGUUCUUUCUAAAAUGUCAAAUCUGGUCUAACCUCAAUCUCCUCAAUAGAAACAACGUGAGAUGGGUCAGACUGAUACUGCCUCAACAUAGACACGUGAAACACAUCAUGGAUACAAUUUAGCUCUAGAAGUAACUCCAAAUGAUAAGCAACAAGUCCCACACGCUUCAGAAUCUGAUACGACCCAAUGAACUUAGGGCUCAACUUGUCUUUCGUCCAAACCACAGAACCUUCUUCCACAGAGACACUUUAAGCAAGAUGAAAUCACCUACAAAGUACUCAAUGUCUCUCCUUUUCAGAUCUGCAUAAGACUUCUGUCUAUCAAAAGCAGCCUUAAGAUGAUCCUGAAUCAAUCUGACUUUGUCUUCAAUCUUGAAAACCAACUCAAGACCCAAAACCCGUCGUUUACCCAACUCAGUCCAAAAUAACGGAGUACGACACUUAUGACCAUACAAGGCCUCGUCAAGUGCCAUCUGAAUGUUAGACCAGAAACUAUUAUUAUAGGCGAACUCAGCUAAUGGAAGAAAAUAUUCCCAACUACCUCAGAAAUCAAUCACACAACUUUAAAGUAUAUCCUCCAGUAUUUGAAUCAUUCUCUCAGAUUGACCAUCUGUCUAAGGAUGGAACGCAGUACUAAAGUCCAAUCUCGAAACCAGAGCCUCAUGAAGAUAGGGCUAUUAAAGGGAUCAAUGGAUAGUUGGAUAGCACCGUAACCCUCUAUUUAGGAAGAUAGGAACCAGUCGCUAUGAAGGGGUGAACGCCACACUCAAAGAGUGAUAAGUUCAAAAUGGAGAUAGAAUGACGCCACUAGCAAACUAGAUAAAUCAAUUCGAUUCACCAAGAAUAAUGAGAGUUGAACAACUCACAAAUAUGUUAUAUUUUAUAAAAGGAUCAAAGUUAAGUAAUCUUCCAAAUGUUUACAAACAGCUAUUUAUAGGAAACUAUAAAAGAAGAUGAAUGACCAACAGUCAGCCAUUAAUGUAGUUCAUGUACACAAACCAUAGAAUGAACCGAAUGGUUCAUGAACUCCCUUAAAUGCAUAUAAAUGGUUGUUCACUCCCUUUUGUUGGUUCAUGGACGUUCAUCCCUUGUAUUGGUAUGUAUUUGGACAUUUAUGCUCCUCAUUGAAUGAUAUUUAUGCAUGAACUUUAACUUGAAGAGUCACAUUCUUCCUCCCUUUACUGUGCAUGAAUUCUUAGAAUAAAGGAAAGCUUCAAGUGCCUUGUAUGAUCACCAAAAGUCUCAUUCAUCUCCUUGGGUCGUUCAUGCACUUGUAUGGAACAUGUAUUCUCAUAAAUAGGUGCUUUAAUGGCAUGUAGGUUCAUGAACUGGUUACAUGCAUCUUGCAGAUUCAUCCUCCAUGAUGUUCAUGCAUGUUACCAUUCAUUGUGCCGCAUUAAUUGUUGAAUUCUUUCCCCUUGGACGUGUAUGCAUGCUUAGCCAUGAAGAAACUCCAUGUUCCAUGAAUUGGCCACCUUUAACUCCUCUCUAUCCCCUUUGACGAAUGUAUAAUGCAUGGGACAUACAUUUCUAUUAAUGACGCCAUAAUGAGAUUGUUGGUUCAUGAAUUUGAUGAAUGGAUCUUUGAAGUUCAUUCCCCACUUGGUGCAUGUAUAUUCUCAUUCAAUGUGUCAAAUUUAUGAGGCACAAAACCCUUGGUUUGUUCAUGAAUUCUUCAUUAAGAAAUGCAUUAAGACAUGUACUUGGCCCUUCCAUACGAACAGUCACAUGUAUCUUCAUAAUGGUAUGAAUUUGUAGGUUUUAUGAAUGUUCCUUCUUAAAUUAGUCCAACGAAUCUAGAAAUGGUGCAUGUAUAUCCAGCCGAAUGUUUAAUAACCUGCAAGACAAGUUUAAAACCUAAUUAAAACUCCAAUAGGACAAACUAAAAUCACAAAUUAAAUGUGUAAUAAGCUAAGACACAAUUAUGAUUUCUAACUAAAACAUGCAUUAAUGUUGUCCAAAUUAGAACAUACUUAAUAGGAAAACUUAAAACACGAUUUUAAUGUAUAAUAAUCUAAGACACAAUUAAUAGACUUAAACAACUAAAACAAUCAGACAUGUAAUAAUGCUGUAGGGAAUUAAAACAUAGUUAAUAUGAAUAAAGUAACUAAGAAUGUUUAAGUCUUAUUCAGCAGCUAAAUUAGCUAGCUAAAUUGUAAAUCGGAUUGAAGUAAAAUGCAAGGGCACUUGACGAGCACUCCCAAGCUCGAUUGGUUGAAGCCACUUCCCAAAUUUGUCCUACUAAAGCUGAAAUUACUUCUUGAAUUGCUUGGAUUAAACUCGAGUAAUUGGACCAGUUGGUAGCUCGAUUGGAUCAAGAACGGAUUCGGUUGAGCCCUUAGGCGAGUUCGUAUCAAAAACCAUCCUUGGAAACAUAAAACCCCAUCACUAUUCAACCUAAAAUCAGACGUACUACCAUCCUCUAUUUGACGGAAUCGUAGAACCAGAUAUUCAUCCCCUAACUGUUUAUCCCGAAUCUAAUCAAUCCAAGUCAGCUUAACUUGCAACAUAGCUAGUAGACUCUCAUCAUCAAACAGACUUAGGUGAGCAAACAUCACUCUUAAAUCAAGCAUUUCUCUACGACUAAAAGCAUCAACCACCAUAUUGGCUUUACCGGGAUGAUACUCUAUAGUGCAGUCGUAAUCCUUGAGCAGCUCAAUCCAUCUACGCUGCCUAAGGUUCAAAUCCUUUUGAGUAAGAAGGUAUUUAAGGCUCUUGUGAUCGGUGUAGAUGACACACCUCUCACCAUACAGAUAGUGCCUCCAAAUAUUUAAGGUAAAAACUACGGUAGCCAACUCGAGAUCGUGUGUCGGAUAAUUCCCAUCGUGUGACUUAAGCUAUCGAGACGCAUAAGUCAUAACCUUUUACCAUCUUGCAUUAAAACACAUCCCAAACCAAUAUGUGAUGCACCGUUAUAUACCACGAACUCCUUAUUAGAUUUAGGCUGUAUCAAAACAAAAGCCUGAGUCAAAACAGAUUUGAGCUUCUCAAAGCUUGAUUGCUGCUAACCAGUCUAGAAAAAAGGAGCGUUCUUACACAAAAUCUUUGUCAGAGGAGUUGCAAUUAACGAGAACCCCUCGACAAACCUCCGAUAAUAACCCGCAAGGCCCAGAAAACUGAAGAUCUCCAAAACAUUCUUAGGCUAUGUCUAAUCAAGUACUGCCUUAAUCUUUCUAGGAUAAACUCAAAUCCCCUAAGCAAAAACCACAUGCUCGAGAAACAUUACUUCUCUCAACCAGAAUUCACACUUACUCAACUUCGCUUAGAGCUAUUUCUCUCGAAGUAUUUGAAGAACUAUUCUAAAAUGUUCAUCAUGAUCAUCAUCGGUCUUAGAGUACACCAGAAUAUUGUCAAUGAAAACUACGAUGAUUUGAUCCAAAUAUGGCUGGAAAACCUGGUUUAUUAGAUCCAUGAAUGCAACCGGAGCAUUCGUCAAACCAAAGGGCAUGACUAGGAACUCGUAGUGCCCAUAACGAGUCUUAAAAGUUGUCUUAUGAACAUCAACUUCCUUAACAUUAAGCUAAUGAUACCUAGAACGAACCGAAGCCCCGUGAAACUGAUCAAAUAGGUCGUCGAUCCUUGGAAGUGGGUACUUAUUCUUCACAGUUAGCUUAUUCAAUUGUCGGUAGUCGAUGCACAUCCUCAUAGUACCAUCCUUUUUCUUUACGAAUAAAAUCGGUGCCCCCCACAGAGACAAACUAAGACGGAUAAAUCAACGAUCCAAAAGCUUUUAAAGCUGAGCCUUUAGCUCCAUAAGCUCCUUCAGUGCCAUAUGAUAAGGAGGAAUAGACACCGGAGUUGUACUUGAUAAAAGCUCAAUGUUGAACUCAAUUUUUUUGAUUCAGAGGGAAACCCGAUAAUUCCUCAGGGAAAACAUCCAAAAAUUCCAUCGUUGUUCUGAUGUUCUCAACAGAAGAGUCCAAAGAAACUGAAGCACUUACAUAGGCCAGAGACGCUUUACACUCUUUUUGAACUAGUGUUUUAGCCACAAGAGCAGAGAUUACAUUGGAUAAGUAAUCUCAACGCUCGUCGAUCACAACUGCUUUUACAUCACACUUAGAUCUCAGAACUACCCUCUUGGUUGCACAAUCCAAACUGACUCGAUGCUCUACAAGCCAGUCUAUACCCAGAAUCAAAUCAAAUUCUCUGAACGGUAGCUCUAUCAGAUUUGCCGGAAACACAACCUCUUGUACUUCUAGCGGUACUUUCCUAUACAGUCUGUUUACCAGAAUAGAUUUACCUAGCAGACUCAAUAUAGAAAUCUCAUCAGAAGUACUCUCAAUAGUAAUUCUCAAGUUUUCAGAGACAGAACUAACUAUGUAGGAGUGCGUUGACCCUAUGUUUAUCAGUGCAAUAUAAGGAACAUGAAAAAUAAGAAACGUACCUGUAAUCAAAUCAGGGGCGUCUCUGUCCUCACGGUGUCGAGUAGCAUAUACAAGCUAAGCUGCUUCACCUCAAUCUGAUUAGCAUCUUUGCUUAGUGCUCUCUUUCCCCUACUCAUACCAUUACCACCCCUAUCCAAACCACAGCACCUAGACGGCUGUUAAACUGCCCUCUUAGGUUGAACGAUACCGAAACUGGAGCUUGCAUUUGAUCAGAACGCUGUGGGAAAUCUCUAAUACGAUGCUCUAACGACCUACAUCACAAACAUGCCCCAACCUCCUCCAGCACUCACCCGGAUGGCGUCUACCACAACCACCGCAUGGCUGAACCACAACAAGAGCAACUGGAACUCCAACCCUAAAAGGCCCCUCAGGUCUGGCUUGUUUCUUAGGCCUCUGAAUAGAAUUAGAUGGCUCUGAAUACCUCUUAUUCUUGCCCCUCUCUCGGUCCCUAUUCUAGCGCUCAACGCGCUUAACCUCUUUGGUGAUCUUCGCCCUGUCCACUGGAACUGCGAACUUUCGCUCCCUCUGCAGAGCUAUCAAAACUCUCAGACUGUCUCCCAAACCAUUUUCAAAAAGAAUACAUUUCUCAUAUUCAGAUUCCAUCAUCCCUCGAGCGUAGCAGCUCAAUCUCAGAAAUUUGGCCUCAUACUCGGCCACUGUCCUGUCUCUUCGAUUAAGAUUCAUGAACUCACGUCUGCGAGUAUCUACAUAGCUCGCCCCCACAUAUUUUCUUUGAAAGACGAUCUUGAAAUAUUCCCAAUUAACCUGAUCCGGCUGAGUACCCUCCUCAAUCGAUGACCACCACUGGUAUGCCUUGUCACGAAGCAGAGAUACUGCACCGUUCAGUUUUUGCUCAGGAGUGGAAUCAAUAUCAUUCAUUAUUCUUUCUGUAGCCUCCAACCAGUAUUCGGCUAUAGUCGAAGUGACUCUAGUGACGCCCCUAAACAACUCAACAUCAUUAGAUCGGAGUCGUUCAGUUACCGACCCAUGUCCCCCAAAACCAGAAUGGGUCCAGCAACCCUCUCCAACACUCUUAGCAUGGCUUAGGGCAGUAUGUUGUCCCCAGCUGAGUGACUUUGAGACCCGGUCUUAGUAGUAGGUGUUGUCGGUGUCUCGCUCGUAUCUAAAUUAGGCAUACUGCUCAUCGAAAAAGACUCAGCUCGAGUCUCUCUGCGAUGUCCGCGGGGCCCACGAGUACAAUUGCCACGCGUUUCACGAGCACUCCUCGUGUUCAAAGUUUUAUUUGCAUUACGAAAUUUUAUGAACCAGUUUCAGUAUUUAUUAGCAAUAUUUUAUGGUUCAAACCAUUUAUCAGAAGUAGUUCAGAAAGUUCAGAAAGUUUAGAGUUUUCAAUCUCUAACUAACUAUAUACAGUUUGAGACAGUUAUGAGUGUUCUAACUACAUUAUUUCUAAGUUAGAAGUACUUACAGGAUCAGUGCUGGAGACUCGGUAUACCACAUACUUACUUCAAAAAUAAACUUUACUCAAAAAAUAAUUACAAUUAAAAUUUUGAACCCAAAAUUUCACAGCCCGCGUUUUGUAACCUGACUCUGAUACCAUUAAAUGUAACACCCCAAACCUGGCUUAGACAUUAUGCCUGAAUCUGGAAUGUUACGAAGUACGGUUAAGAAUCUAACCUUAUCAUGUUAAAAACCUCGUAUACUUUGUUAUUUAAAUAGUCCACUUAUUUAAAAACAUGUUCUUAUAUUUUUAAAAAUCGAGUUUAUUUUCUCAAAAAUGAUUAUUCGUAUAAAACAGUUGUUUUUGUAAACCAUUUUUGUCGAACAUUGCAAGAAAAUUCAAAAGGAAAUCCAAAUCCAAAAUUAAAAUCAAACAGUCUAGAGAGUCCCAAAAUUACAAAAAUCUCAAAUUAAACCAGAAAUUUAAAUAAACAUUUUAUGAAAACGAAGUUUACGAACGUGUGGUCACCACUGAGCCUCCAUCUCACCGACCCGCCUAAGCCUGAGGAUUUCCUGAACAGAUCAGACAAACAGAGAGUGAGUUUUUAAGAAAACUCAGUGUGUAACUAUAUGGAAACAUAAAUUCAGACUUUAUCGCAUAGCAGAGCAGAUAGAAACAUAAUUUCUUUACAGAAUCAGAUUAUUGACAGAAUCGUAUAGAAUCAGAAAUGCAUAGUCCUAGCCCCAUCCUCUACACACCAACUCCGACCAUCUCAACACACUACAUGGGGUAUAAAGCACCCACCUAGCCCUACAUACCACAUAUUGUCCGAACGACACUUAUUAGAAUAAAUCGCAGUCAUGCUACUAGCAUAUUGGCGAAAUAUCACCUCACAAAUUAAUUUCUCCACAUAAACAUAACCCACCCCAUACACAGAUACAGAUAAACAGAAUAACAGAUAAUAUGCAUGUUAAUACAUAACAGACAUUAUACAAGCAUAAGUGUGACAGAACAGAUCAUACAUACUAUAUCUCAUAAAUCUCAUAUAAACACUAUUUAAACUAUUUUCAGUCUAACAGAGCGACAUGUCUCAAGCUUAAGGGUUUGUAUUACUCAUACCAACCCUACGGAAAGCGCACGAUAAAUUGGAACGACGCAUGUGACCAUAGGAAAACAUUUUGAAAUUUGGGCCCACAUGGCUGUGUGGCCCAUACGUCUAAAAUGGCCUUGUCCCUAGGCCCACACGGCCUAGCCCAUGACCACACACACCCGUCACAUGACACACACCGUACCACAUGGCUGGGCAUACGCCAGAUUUUUAGCUUUUGACGAUCAUCAUUUUCUCGCAUUUUUUGUUAUACACUUAGUUCAUUUUUUUAUGUGAAAGCAAUCUCGAGACCUCUGAAACUUAAGAAAUAGCAUUCCAAAGACUAUUUUCGCAAUAAAUUUACGAAUUCAACACAAGUAAACUGAACAAUGCACUCGAACUUACCGCCAACAAACACAAUCACACACGAAUUAGAUCGUUGGAGCGUAAUCCUCUGCUUCACAACCUUUUCCUAAAAGCAAAACCAACUAAUUAAUGGCUACAAAUUAACAUCACUAGCAUCCCAUAAUUCUAAAUGCUCCAUAGUCGAUUGGAACGACACAUGCAACCAUAGGGAAACAUUCUAAAAUUUGGGCCUACAUACCCGUGUGGCCCACACGUCCAAAAUGGCCUUGUCCCUGGGAUCACAUGGCCUAGCCUACGACCACACACACACCCGUCACAUGACACACGACCUACCACAUGGCUGGGCACACGCCUGUGUGGUGUCAACACGCCAAAUUUUUAGCUUUUGAUGAUCGUCAUUUUCUCGUUUUUGUUAUACACUUAGUUCAUUUUUUAUGUGAAAGCAAUCUCGAUACUUUGAAACCUAAGAAAUAGCAUUCCAAUGACUACUUUCGCAUUCAAUUUACGAAUUCAACACAACUAAACUGAACAACGCACAGGAACUUACCGCCAACGAACACAAUCACACACGAAUUAGAUCGUUGGAGCGUAAUCCUCUACUUCACAACCUUUUUCCUAAAAGCAAAACCCACUAAUCAAAUGGUAACAAAUUAACAUCACUAGCAUCCCAUAAUUCUAAACGCUCCAUAGUCGAUUGGAACUACACAUGCGACCAUAGGGAAACAUUCUGAAAUUUGGGCCUACAUGCCCGUGUGGCCCACAUGUCCAAAAUGGCCUUGUCCCUGGGCCCACAUGGCCUGGCCCACGACCACACACACACCCAUCACAUGACACACGGCCUACCACACGGCUGGGCACACGCCCGUGUGGCGUCGACACGCCAGAUUUUUAGCUUUUGACGAUCGCCAUUUCUUGUGUUUUUGUUAUACACUUAGUUCGUUUUUUAUGUGAAAGCAAUCUCAAGACCUCUAAAACCUAAGAAAUAGCAUUCCAACGACUACUUUCGCAAUCAAUUUAUGAAUUUAACACAACUAAACCGAAAACGCACACGAACUUAUCGCCAACGAACACAAUCACACACGAAUUAGAUCGUUGGAGCGUAAUCCUCUACUUCACAACCUUUUCCUAAAAGCAAAACCCAAUAAUUAAUGGCUAUAAAUUAACAUCACUAGCAUCCCAUAAUUCUAAACACUAAAGAUAAUCAAAGCUUUACUUACCAUGUUAAAUGAAGAACCCGAAAAACCCAUGUUGCAACGAUUGAACGGAUGAUUCACAAACAGAAUCAAAAGAAGAAAUAAAAUAAUUUUUACAAGGAAAGGGGAAAAAGAUUUUGGGGAAAACAAAAACAAAACAAAAUAAAAUAAAAUAAACAAAAUAAAAAUAACAUCAUAUCCCAACUUCCCCCACCAAAAUCGAUCCACUACACUCAUCCAACUACCUCAGAAUUCUAACUCCAUCCAACUUCUACUACUCAAUCGACACACACUCACAAAAGAAAAAAUAUCAUCCUUCGCUCACACAAGGGUUUGAACAUGAGACCUUAGGUAAAACUCACAUCUUACCACUUGAACCAACAAGGUCAUUCUAAUAUGAAUUGACUGAAAAUAUAACAUAAGUCAACCCACGACAGAUAAAGCUAGGACCAAAAGUAGCAGAAUUUUCCAAUAGUGUAACUUAAACCCAAGAUCUCAAACACACAAUCAGAACACUUAACUAUUAAAAGAGAUACAUACUUUAUGAUAGAAUUCACAAAAACAAAGUUAAAUAAAUCAGGGUGUUAUAGAUAAUAUAAAUUUCAAUUCCUUUCAAUGAACUACUCAUCUAUACCAUAAUAACUAUAUUUACAAAGGUUUAUACCAUAGAAUAACAAGUUCAUUUUUUAUUACACAAAUUCUUGUUCAAUUUAACGUUUCGUCAAAUGCAACCUUAGUUUCAUGAGAUUUUGUGAUAGUGAUUUUGACGGUGAUAUUGAUGAUAGAAAAAGCACCACUGGAUUUGUGUUUUUUUUGGGAGAUUGCUGCAUCUCUUGGUGUUCUAACAAGCAACCCAUUGUGACAUUUUCAAUUUGUGAAGUUGAAUAUGUGGCAACAACUUCUUGUACUUGUCAUGCUAUUUGGCUUAGAAGAUUGUUUAAAGAACUUCACUUGCCACAAGAAAGAGCAACCAAAAUUUGCAUUGAUAACAAGUCUGCACAAGCACUCGCAAAAAAUCCUAUGUUCUAUGAUUGAAGCAAACAUAUAGACACAAGAUAUCAUUUUAUCAGGAGCAUAUUGCCAAGAAGGAAGUGGAGCUUAACUUUAUAAAGACUCAAGAUCAAAUGAUGAAUAUUUUUACAAAACCUCUCAAGGUCAAAGAUUUUCGAAGAAUGCAUGAAAAACUUAGCGUAAUCAAGAAAAGUUCAAAUUAAAAGGAAGUGUUGGGUAUUAUAAUUUGAAUAUUCUAGAAUAUAUUUGCUCAUUUAUUUACAUGUAUUUAUUUAAUGGAUGUAUUUAAAGUGGAUGAAUUGACUAAUCAUACAUGAAUGUACUUAACUAGGAUACAUGAAUGUAUUGAAACCAAUAGUCAUCUACAACUACUAUAUAAAGAGUUGUAUGUGAUGAAAUUUAGUAAAAGAGUGUGGAAGGCACAAAAAUAUAAUACGAGUGAGUUCAUUUUCACAUUCCUUCCCAAGGUUGUUUCUUCCACCUCCUUCCAACAUAAUCAAACCUUAUGGCUGAAAAAGUUAUUGAGAGAUUCGGAUAUGAAACAAAAAGUAAGUACUCAAGUGUUCGUAGACAACCAACCUACAAUUUUCAUUGCAAAUGAUCUGUUUUUCUGAAUUAAAAUAAAACGCUUCAAAAUUAAAUUAUAUUUUCUGAGAGAAGUGUAAAAGGAAAAAGAUGUACAACUAGUUACUACAUCGCAGAAAGUCAGAAUGCAGAUAUUCUUUUAACUUUUGAUAUAUAUACCAUGAAAAAACGUUUAAUUUUUUUUAUCUUACUUCUUAAAUUUAAAUCCAUCCAAAGGUGUGAAUAACCAGCCAUUUUGAAGCUUCUAAUUAUUAACUCAUUUUUGUUAAAGUAGCCUUUUAACUUUAGAAAACACAAAGCAUGAGAUGCCAAAGCGACUAGCUAGGAUUAGAGAGAUAAAGUGUUCAGAAAGGCUAGAUUUUCAAAUGUUAAUCUCAUUAUAAGUUAAACUAAUGCCAAUAAUCAUUUGAAAGCAACAUUAAUUUUACUUUUCUCCCUUCGUUCUCCGAUUCCCCAUAGAUACGUAUAUAUAGGGAAGUCCCACAAAUCUUUUCUUUUUGCCAGUUGUGCUCAAGGCACUUUAAUGGCUAAGAAAGAUCUCAGUAUUGGGCAGUAAUAAGUUCCAAAUCAGAGAUAACAUUGGUUAGGCAUUAAGCAUUUUAAUUUCACUAUAAUUCCUGUUAAUGAAGAAUUGGAACCUCAGAAAGUUGAAAGAAUAAUUAGCAAGCCCUCUCCAUUUGUCCCUCCUUCCCUUUGUUUUACCCUUAAGAAAUUCCGUUUAAUCUUACUUUUUUUAUUAGGAAAUCAACCCUUGAAAAGUGAGGUUAGAGGGCUUCCCUAUCCUAAACUUCCUGUAUAUAUAGUCACCUAGCCCUCUAACCAUACAUGCAAGACAAAAAAAAAAAAAAAACACAAACUUCUAGUUGUUCUUGUAUACUGCAAAAACAAUGGCAUGUUCAAUAGAUCAUCUUAAGAAAGUUCCGACACAAGGGUUUCCCUUGAUGGAUGAGUUAUACGGCCUGCAGCUAGCUGAGAAGACUCACCGGAAAGCUCCUCUACCGAGAAAUCAGGAUCAUUAUCAUCAUCAGCAGAAGCUGGUACCACACCACUAUGUUUAUCAUGGACCUCAAGCUGUCACUGUUGUUCAACAGCCAGUUACCGGCAGCUAUCAUCAAAUCCAGAACAACCAAAACCAUGAAAAAUGGUAUGUUUGUCAAGUUUCCCAAGGUCCUAUAUGCAUCAAUAAGUAGCAAUGAUGCAGCUAGAUACUAUGGUGGGAUGCUACCUAAUGAUGUUAUAGGGCUUUGUUGAUUUAUGUAAUAGUAUUUGGUAGAUAGUAGAUAUAGAACUCCGUAGCCUGGUUAGUAACACGCAGGUAUUUUUCAUUAGUGUUUCACCAGAGCUUUUAGCAGCUUGAAAAUAAGCUACGCUUUGUGUAAGAUUAUGUAUUUUGUUUUGGUUCUGAAAUCUAUAUACUUAUGUUGAUAUCUUUCUUUUAUUACAAGUUUAUGUUUCACUCCCAUGUAUUCGUAACUUGGUUUUCAAUUUCGUUACUUACACACAAACGUUGUAUCGAAACUCUUUCACCUAUUAAGUUCGAUUGCUUCUG